Molecule: long non-coding RNA, 456 nt
Filed under: Homo sapiens (human)
Lineage: Eukaryota; Metazoa; Chordata; Mammalia; Primates; Hominidae
Description: HSALNT0305521
Source: RNAcentral
UGCAGGGUCAGUAGGUUUCAUGCUGCCUGGACUUUCCAAAAAGGAUGUUUGCUGACGGGAUGGCUUGUUGGAGGAGGAAGAUUCUGUAGAAAUUCAGUUCCCUUGUAUGUUCCCAGCCUCUGGCAGGAGUUGGGGAUAAAAUUGAGCCCGUGGUACAAUGGGGAGACAGGUGCUAAGAAGAAAAUAAACAGAGAACGUCUUGCAGUGGGCAGCCAUUUCAGGAGGUAAAUGCCGGGGGGUGGUGUUUGAACAGUGACGGAAGGACAUGAAGAAGCGAGCGUGUGAAGGUGUGGAAGAAGUACAAUCCAUGCAGAAGAACCAGCAAGCCUUCUUUCCAUCUGGCAGUAUUAUGCAAGAUUCGGAACGAAUCUCCUCCUCCUCUCUUGCCUCUUCUCUUUUCUUUUAAAAAACCAAUUGAGAUUAUUAAAACCAAGAGGCCCCUAUCAAAGUUCUUUU